RNAcentral lists this ribosomal RNA (113 nucleotides) under Vibrio parahaemolyticus. RNAcentral's name for it is "partial 16S ribosomal RNA". The record is from RNAcentral. Lineage: Bacteria; Pseudomonadati; Pseudomonadota; Gammaproteobacteria; Vibrionales; Vibrionaceae.
UUAAAUUGAAGAGUUUGAUCAUGGCUCAGAUUGAACGCUGGCGGCAGGCCUAACACAUGCAAGUCGAGCGGAAACGAGUUACCUGAACCUUAGGGGAACGAUAACGGCGUCGA